GGAGGGCGGUCAUAGUCCGUCCGUGUAGGGAGCGCAGCCCCCGGUCUGGAGACUGGCGGUCCAAGAUCAGGGUGCCAGCAUGGUUGGAUUCUAGUGCAGACUCCCUCCUGACUUGAAGACUAUACCUUCUCAUUGUGUCUUCACAUGGCAGAAAGAGAGAAAGAGAGCUCUCUCUGCCUCUUCCUGUAAGACCAUAGUCUUAUUGGAUUAGAGGCCCAUUCUUAUGACCUCAUUUAAGCUUUAUUAUCUCCUGAAGGCCCCAUCUCCAGAUAUAGUCACACUGGGGCUUAAGACUUCAACAUACCAAUUUUGGGAGAUAUGAUUCAGUCUAUCACGUCGAUCACAUUCAGUCUAACAUCACAAUAAAAGGCCCUGUGAUGCUUUGGCAUACCCUGGUGACUCAGGGAUGGCCAACUAGAAAUAUAACAGGUACCCAAAUGCCAUUCUCACUGAGAAGUCUGGAAACAUAUUUCUGAGAAAAGCAGAAGAGAGAGAGUUUAGCCAAGGUGGGAAGCUACUACAUGUGGUGAGGCCAUGUGUGGCAAGCAUGCGUCUAACUAGCCAUGGACACAUGAAGUCCUUCAGUGCUUAACAAUGCUGAGUCAUAUAUUAGAUUAUGUUCCAGAAUCCUACACCCACAGCAUGUGAGGCAGAUAAGCUGUACUUACCCAAGAAAUGUAAACACCACAAUAGUCCUUGGUUGUCAAUCUGGUAGGGUCACGAAGACCUGCCUGGUAUCAGUGUUUUUUAAAGCAACAGCUGAAAAAGUGACACCUAACUAGUCAAAGAACAGAGUUACAAGAGACAUGCUGAUUCAACGAAUGGAGAUGAGUAAACUGAAUUGCAGAGAGCUUAGAUGACUUGAAAGAGACUUGACAGCUGAGCAGGGAGACCAUCUGUAGCCACCUCCCUGUCACAAGGAAGCCUGCACAUAGAGACCUCCCAUAGAGACGAAAUAUAUCUACAAAAGGGUCACUGCCCUUGCAAGGAAAAUGCGAUCCCAGCACGGCCUGGCGUGUUCCUGGCGGCAGAAAGGACUCCUGCCAGGACAGGAGGAGAAGUUGCCGCUGAGACGAGGAGACGGCGGGAAGCCCUGCAGAUGCCCCAAGCCCACUGAAGCCACAGGAGGGGAAGGGAGGAGGCUGCUGUGCUUUCUGUGUACCUUGUUCUCUGCCCAGAAGGGUCAGCACAGCCAGGCAGCCCCGAAACCCAGUGGAGGCUAAAGAAAGGAGGGCCCUCUCUCCUAGAGAAGGCUCAGUAGGCUCCCGAGGAAAGGGAAGGAGCAACUUUUUCCGUUUGACUUCAAGGAGGAGGGGGAAAGGGUACAGAAUCAAAAUGUAUGGCACUUGCGAUUCAGUUGGCUUAUUUCUGAAAAAAUUGGGGUAGAUUGGGCGCCCAAUGCACCAUAAGCGUUAUGUGUGUUUGUAAACACACACGGGGGUGUACACAGGGGUAGGGGUCUUAGAGAGAAAAGUAAAAAGGGAAAAGAAGGAAAGUAGCAGAGGCUACUUUACACAUAAAAGUACAUAAAUAAGUUUACUUAUGAAGACCAUGGUUUCCCACUAACAGCCCCAUCUUGGUAGCAGAAUGGGACAAACUGUCACA
This is a long non-coding RNA of Homo sapiens (human), 1605 nucleotides long. Ensembl annotates it as long intergenic non-protein coding RNA 332. NCBI's taxonomy places the organism in Eukaryota, Metazoa, Chordata, Mammalia, Primates, Hominidae. The record is from Ensembl.